Molecule: non-coding RNA, 73 nt
Organism: Stegodyphus mimosarum
Lineage: Eukaryota; Metazoa; Arthropoda; Arachnida; Araneae; Eresidae
Source: Rfam
GCUUUCGUGGUGUAGUGGUCAGCACACUCGGCAAGCAUUCGAGAGGUCCGCGGUUCGAGUCCCAGCGAGGGCU